This 443-nucleotide ribosomal RNA is filed under the name uncultured bacterium. RNAcentral describes it as "partial 16S ribosomal RNA". It matches the Rfam family "Bacterial small subunit ribosomal RNA", at positions 28 to 507 of the family's 1533-position model. The record is from RNAcentral.
GAUGAACGCUGGCGGCAUGCCUAACACAUGCAAGUCGAUCGGUAAGGCUCUUCGGAGUACCCGAGAGGCGGACGGCGGAGUAACGCGUAGGAACACACCCUGCAGUGAGGGAUAAGACACCGAAAGGUGUUCUAAUACCGAAUACGGUCUUCGGAUUAAAGCAUUUAUGCGAUGAAGGAGUGGCCUGCGUCAUAUUAGAUAGUUGGUGAGGUAAUGGCUCACCAAGUCGAUGAUGUGUAGCUGGUCUGAGAGGAUGAUCAGCCAGACUGGAACUGAGACACGGUCCAGACUCCUACGGGAGGCAGCAGUGAGGAAUAUUUCACAAUGAGCGAAAGCUUGAUGGAGCAAUGCCGCGUGCAGGAUGAAGGCCCUCGGGUUGUAAACUGCUUUUAUAAGAGAAGAUUAUGACGGUAACUUAUGAAUAAGGGACGGCUAACUACGUG